This 172-nucleotide unclassified non-coding RNA is filed under the name uncultured Tarzetta. RNAcentral's name for it is "sequence contains ITS2". Lineage: Eukaryota; Fungi; Ascomycota; Pezizomycetes; Pezizales; Pyronemataceae. The record is from RNAcentral.
AAACCAUUCGAGACGCGGGUGCAAACCCUCGGCUCGGUCUUGGGCAUGAGGGAUCAAAACCCUCGGCCUGCAAUCCAGCGGCAGACUCCCUGCGUAGCAGUAGCGAGAUAGAAUCGUCAAUCGCGAAUGCGCGACGGCGACGUCUAGCCAUAACCCCCAAAUCUGUAAUCGA